Molecule: small nuclear RNA, 106 nt
Organism: Sorex araneus (European shrew)
Lineage: Eukaryota; Metazoa; Chordata; Mammalia; Eulipotyphla; Soricidae
Source: Ensembl
CUGCUCUCUUUGGCACCAAAUUUACUAAAAUUAGAGCAAUACACAGGAGAUUAGCAUGGCUCCUUGCAAGGAUAAGAUGCAAUUUCUUGAAUGUUUUCAUGUGUUU